RNAcentral lists this ribosomal RNA (618 nucleotides) under Cortinarius smithii. Its description in RNAcentral is "eukaryotic LSU rRNA". It matches the Rfam family "Eukaryotic large subunit ribosomal RNA", at positions 1 to 618 of the family's 3401-position model. Lineage: Eukaryota; Fungi; Basidiomycota; Agaricomycetes; Agaricales; Cortinariaceae. The record is from RNAcentral.
GUGACCUCAAAUCAGGUAGGACUACCCGCUGAACUUAAGCAUAUCAAUAAGCGGAGGAAAAGAAACUAACAAGGAUUCCCCUAGUAACUGCGAGUGAAGCGGGAAAAGCUCAAAUUUAAAAUCUGGCAGUCUUUGGCUGUCCGAGUUGUAAUCUAGAGAAGUGUUAUCCGCGCUGGACCGUGUACAAGUCUCCUGGAAUGGAGCGUCAUAGAGGGUGAGAAUCCCGUCUUUGACACGGACUACCAGGGCUUUGUGAUGCGCUCUCAAAGAGUCGAGUUGUUUGGGAAUGCAGCUCAAAAUGGGUGGUAAAUUCCAUCUAAAGCUAAAUAUUGGCGAGAGACCGAUAGCGAACAAGUACCGUGAGGGAAAGAUGAAAAGAACUUUGGAAAGAGAGUUAAACAGUACGUGAAAUUGCUGAAAGGGAAACGCUUGAAGUCAGUCGCGUCGUCCAGGGAUCAACCUUGCUUUUGCUUGGUGCACUUUCUGGUUGACGGGUCAGCAUCAAUUUUGACCAUYGGAAAAAGAUCAGGGGAAUGUGACAUCUUUGGAUGUGUUAUAGCCCUUGGUUGCAUACGAUGGUUGGGAUUGAGGAACUCAGCACGCCGCAAGGCCGGGUUU